Molecule: long non-coding RNA, 2250 nt
Organism: Vombatus ursinus (common wombat)
Lineage: Eukaryota; Metazoa; Chordata; Mammalia; Diprotodontia; Vombatidae
Exons: 2
Source: RefSeq, a predicted model, not a curated record
AGCUUAGAUCUGUCUGUGUAUUGGCUCAGGAGCACUGUCACUCACUGUCGGGUAGCAACCUCCUCUCUAGCUUGUUCUUCCUCCUCGUCCCCACCCCUUUCACUUCUUUUUCUCCCUCUCAAUCUCUCUCCUUCUCUUUCCAGCCUGCCGCCUCCACCUCCUGGUCCCUGCUCAGGUGUCAGACACCCUAUGGGCCUGCUUUGGAGAAGGAGAAUGGCCAAGGUGGGGUGGAUAGAAACGGAAAGGCAGAGGGGAGAGAGAAGGCCUCCACACCCCGGUGCAAUCGUACACCCUCUUCUCUACUUUUGCUACUCGGCUUUCCCAGUUUGGUUGAGCCGCAGUAAGAGCAGCUAAGUGUAGAGUGUCUACAAUGUUAGAGGACUUGAUGAAACCAGAAAAAUCUCAUCACCCUAUGAUGGAGGGCCUUGCCAUAUUAACAAGGAAAUUCUUCUUCAACUUGGACUCAAAAUUGUAUUUCAUCCAUGAUAAUGGUGAACACCACUGGAAAGUAAACGUCCUCCUUUUUCAUGCCUUGUUUGAUAUUAAUAAUCAAGUCAUUGAACAAAGCUAUCUCUGAUAUUAUGUUUCAAGGAUUCUUGUACAUGUACAUGGGGACACUGUUGGAGGAGAACCUUUAAAAGCAGUAUUUUACUCAACUUAGUAAAUCCUUUUUAUGUAGUCAACAAAUUAUAAGUACAAUUGGAUCCUAUAAUCUUUACAUCUUUAUAUUGUGUGAUGGUAAACUUGUGAUCUACUGGAGUUUAUGAGUAUGAUGGUGAUGGGAAGUGUUCUACCAGCCCAGCUUUCUUGAUAAACACUAUAGGAAAGAAUAAAAAAGAAGUCAGAAGGAAAUGAUCAAGAAACACCAAGGGAAGUCAUAGUAAGCUCCUCUACAUUGUCUAGAAUUGUAGUAGAAUAUGACCAGAAGUCUGCCAACCCUUUAUGUGGGGAAAGACCAAGGUUUCAGGAAACCAACUACAUCUCCAGUGAAGGGCCUGAAAUCAGGAGGAUCUCAGCCCUGGCUUUUUGGGAGCCUUGGGGCUGGGGGGUAGAGCCAACCUUCAAUUUUGGCCCUUAUGGUACAUGAGGUCAGGCAGUGAAUACAGAGUUGAGAGCCAUUGCUGUACCCAAAUAGGAAUUACUACAGGUCCUGGAGGAAGCCUGAGACCAUUAAAAUCUCAGACAUUUGCAUGGCGUCUGUCAAAGUAAUAGCAGGGAACAAAGCAAACUCCCUAUUGGUGAUUGUCUAAGGAGAAGACAGAGAUGGGGCCAAAACCAGUACCCAUUUCAGCUAUCAGAAGACAGAGGAAGAAGCUAGGCACUGAGACAAAACCAUCUUACCCAGAAUAGCAGUGGCAGUGUCACCUAGACUUCAGAGGGAACAGAAUAAGGCAAGGGCCUCCCACUCCAUUCAAGAGUAUGGGAGAGGGUAAAUAGAGUAUGGCCUCUGUGCAAAGUCCCAAUCUAAUAACUGAGAUUAGAGACAUGAAUAAAAAGAGAACUCUGAAUACAAUUAAGAAAUGUUAUGGGCUAAAAGUACCCCGGGAGGAAAACUCAGAAGAAGAGAGUAACUCCAUAAUAAGUACAAAGAAAAUGUGGGACGAGGUAGAGAUAACUUUGUCUAAAAGUGGAUAGAAGAAAUGAAGCAAAGGUUUAAAAAAAAAAGAAGCUUUUGAGGAAAAAAUAUUCAAAGGACAAUAAAUAACAACACAGAAUGGGGAAAACCUCACUCAAGUAGUGGAGUACUGGAAAAAUAGAAUGGAGCAAUUAAACAUUAAGAAAUAUUAGAACAAAGUCAAAAGAUGAAAAAUCUAAAAAACAUAGAAUGUAUCCAUCGUAAAAAUUUAAAAAAAAAAUUGGCCAGAAAAAAAAGGUGGAGAAAAUCUACUAUUACAGUUACCAAACUCACUGAAAAUCAGGACCAUGUCAAAAAAAAAAAACCCCACAAAAUUCACAUUUCAAAAAAUAGUAAAAUUGUCUAGUUCUAUUAGCACCAGAGGACAAAAUGAAAAACAGAAAGAAUCCUCAAAUCAUCACCUUAAAGAAACAUCAGUCUCUGGGUAUCAAAAUAUCCAAGGAUUUCAUCUCACCUUAGUAAAUUGGUAAAAAUGACAAAAAAUAGCAAUAAUCAAUGUUGGAGGGGUUGUGAUAUGAUAGGCACACUGAUGCAUUGUUGGUGGAGUUGUGAAUUGGUAUAAAUGUUUUGGAAAGAAAUGUGAAAGUAUGCAAAUAAAAUGACUAAAAUAUCCA